RNAcentral lists this ribosomal RNA (466 nucleotides) under uncultured bacterium. Its description in RNAcentral is "partial 16S ribosomal RNA". It matches the Rfam family "Bacterial small subunit ribosomal RNA", at positions 29 to 507 of the family's 1533-position model. The record is from RNAcentral.
AUGAACGCUGGCGGCGCGCCUAACACCUGCAAGUCGAACGAUUAAAGCACCUUCGGGUGUGUAUAAAGUGGCGAACGGCUGAGUAACACGUGGGCAACCUGCCCCUUUCAUUGGGAUAGCCACGGGAAACCGUGGAUAAUACCGAAUACUUCGAGACUUCCGCAUGGAAGACUCGAGAAAGCUCCGGCGGAGAGGGAUGGGCCCGCGGCCUGUUAGCUUGUUGGUGGGGUAACGGCCUACCAAGGCAAUGAUGGGUAGCUGGGUUGAGAGACCGACCAGCCAGAUUGGGACUGAGACACGGCCCAGACUCCUACGGGAGGCAGCAGUGGGGAAUCUUGCACAAUGGGCGAAAGCCUGAUGCAGCGACGCGGCGUGCGGGAUGAAGGCCGUCGGGUUGUAAACCGCUUUCAGCAGGGACGAGGCGAAAGUGACGGUACCUGCAGAAGAAGCCCCGGCUAACUACGUG